CACGUAGGGUGCGAGCGUUGUCCGGAAUUAUUGGGCGUAAAGAGCUCGUAGGCGGUGUGUCGCGUCGACCGUGAAAACCUGCAGCUUAACUGUGGGCUUGCGGUCGAUACGGGCAUCACUGGAGUUCGGCAGGGGAGACUGGAAUUCCUGGUGUAGCGGUGAAAUGCGCAGAUAUCAGGAAGAACACCCGUGGCGAAGGCGGCUCUCUGGGACGGUACUGACGCUGAGACGCGAAAGCGUGGGAGCGAAGCAGG
RNAcentral lists this ribosomal RNA (254 nucleotides) under uncultured bacterium. Its description in RNAcentral is "partial 16S ribosomal RNA". It matches the Rfam family "Bacterial small subunit ribosomal RNA", at positions 524 to 776 of the family's 1533-position model. The record is from RNAcentral.